RNAcentral lists this transfer RNA (85 nucleotides) under Acidobacteriota bacterium. Its description in RNAcentral is "Acidobacteria bacterium (drinking water metagenome) tRNA-Tyr". It matches the Rfam family "tRNA". From Rfam's summary of the family: Transfer RNA (tRNA) molecules are approximately 80 nucleotides in length. Their secondary structure includes four short double-helical elements and three loops (D, anti-codon, and T loops). Lineage: Bacteria; Pseudomonadati; Acidobacteriota. The record is from RNAcentral.
GCAGGGGUGGUCGAGUGGCUAAUGGCAUCGGGCUGUAAACCCGACAGACUAACGUCUUACGCAGGUUCGAAUCCUGCCCCCUGCA